AGCGAACGCUGGCGGCAGGCCUAACACAUGCAAGUCGAACGAAGUCUUCGGACUUAGUGGCGGACGGGUGAGUAACACGUGGGAACGUACCUUUUGGUUCGGAACAACUCAGGGAAACUUGAGCUAAUACCGGAUGAGCCCUCAGGGGGAAAGAUUUAUCGCCGAAAGAGCGGCCCGCGUUAGAUUAGCUAGUUGGUGAGGUAAAGGCUCACCAAGGCUACGAUCUAUAGCUGGUCUGAGAGGAUGAUCAGCCACACUGGGACUGAGACACGGCCCAGACUCCUACGGGAGGCGGCAGUGGGGAAUCUUGCGCAAUGGGCGAAAGCCUGACGCAGCCAUGCCGCGUGAAUGAUGAAGGUCUUAGGAUUGUAAAAUUCUUUUACCAGGGACGAUAAUGACGGUACCUGGAGAAAAAGCCCCGGCUAACCUCGUGCCAGCAGCCGCCGUAA
RNAcentral lists this ribosomal RNA (449 nucleotides) under uncultured bacterium. Its description in RNAcentral is "partial 16S ribosomal RNA". It matches the Rfam family "Bacterial small subunit ribosomal RNA", at positions 29 to 523 of the family's 1533-position model. The record is from RNAcentral.